CCUACGGGCGGCAGCAGUAGGGAAUUUUCGACAAUGGGCGCAAGCCUGAACGAGCAAUGCCGCGUGAACGAGGAAGGUCUUCGGAUCGUAAAGUACUGUUGGAGGGGAAAAAGAGCGGAGAGAGGAAAUGCUUUCUGAUUGAUAUUACCCUUCGAGGAAGCCACGGCUAACUACGUGCCAGCAGCCGCGGUAAUACGUAGGGGGCGAGCGUUAUCCGGAAUGAUUGGGCGUAAAGGGUGCGUAGGCGGCCUGCUAAGUCUGGAGGGAAAGGUACGGGCUCAACCGGUACAGGCCCUGGAAACUGGCGGGCUAGAGAGCAGGAGAGGGCGGUGGAACUCCAUGUGUAGCGGUAAAAUGCGUAGAGAUAUGGAAGAACACCAGUGGCGAAGGCGGCCGCCUGGCCUGUUACUGACGCUGAGGCACGAAAGCGUGGGGAGCAAAUAGGAUUAGAUACCCGAGUAGUC
This 464-nucleotide ribosomal RNA is filed under the name uncultured bacterium. RNAcentral describes it as "partial 16S ribosomal RNA". It matches the Rfam family "Bacterial small subunit ribosomal RNA", at positions 338 to 795 of the family's 1533-position model. The record is from RNAcentral.